GCCCAGGUGGCGGAACUGGUAGACGCACUACCUUGAGGUGGUAGCGCCGCAAGGCGUAGGGGUUCGAGUCCCCUCUUGGGCACCA
RNAcentral lists this transfer RNA (85 nucleotides) under Rhodanobacter sp. FW510-R10. RNAcentral's name for it is "tRNA-Leu". It matches the Rfam family "tRNA". Rfam says of the family: Transfer RNA (tRNA) molecules are approximately 80 nucleotides in length. Their secondary structure includes four short double-helical elements and three loops (D, anti-codon, and T loops). Further hydrogen bonds mediate the characteristic L-shaped molecular structure. tRNAs have two regions of fundamental functional importance: the anti-codon, which is responsible for specific mRNA codon recognition, and the 3' end, to which the tRNAs corresponding amino acid is attached (by aminoacyl-tRNA synthetases). tRNAs cope with the degeneracy of the genetic code in two manners: having more than one tRNA (with a specific anti-codon) for a particular amino acid; and 'wobble' base-pairing, i.e. permitting non-standard base-pairing at the 3rd anti-codon position. The record is from RNAcentral. RNAcentral also lists the same sequence under 23 other names. Lineage: Bacteria; Pseudomonadati; Pseudomonadota; Gammaproteobacteria; Lysobacterales; Rhodanobacteraceae.